This 774-nucleotide long non-coding RNA is filed under the name Lathyrus oleraceus (garden pea). RNAcentral describes it as "Pisum sativum (pea) long non-coding RNA (PSAT_LNC022268)". Lineage: Eukaryota; Viridiplantae; Streptophyta; Magnoliopsida; Fabales; Fabaceae. The record is from RNAcentral.
AAAAAACAUGGCUUUAACUCUCAAAUUCGUUAAUGUUAUGAUCAUUUUUAUUUCUCUGUUUCUGAUUGUAACUAAUAGCAGUAAAUCAUUUUCCUACCAUUUUCAAAUUAUCUUCCUUAUUUUUCCAUAUUGUUUCAUCAUAUUUUAGUAUCAUUUAUGUUUUCUUGUUUAACAUUGCAGCUCAAUUUCCUUCAGCUCAAUUUCCUUGCAAUGAUGAUGAUGAUUGUACAAGAGAUAUGUGUAUGCGUAAUAGUCUAACUCCAAAGUGUAUUAAGUAUACUUGUGAGUGCAUGUAAGUAUAACAAUUAAGAUGAAAAUAAAUGUAGGUCACUUCUAAUAAUUUAACUUUAUUUGUACGUUAAUUUAAUAUUUUAUUUAUUUACUUGUAAUAUGCAACAAGAUGUGACUCACCUUUCUUCUGCGUAAAUGUUGUGAUAUGGUUCCUCAUAUGUGUAGUUUUUCUUAAGGGAAAUUACUUUUCCAUAAAUACUUAGGUGAGUUGUUCUCGUGUGAUGAUUGAAUUUGUAGCUAAAGAAUGUAGUGAAACUAUGUCUCUAUCCCUUAAUUAAAAAGGGAAGAUAUGUAAUUUUAUGAAAUCAUUAGUAACACCAUUCAUUUUUAAAGUAUCGCAGUCUUCUAGAAAAGAUUUAAGUGUUAGUUAGGAUCAUCACAUGUCAUACCUAAACUCUUAUUCUAUUGUACCAUGGAGAACAUAUAGGGUUUUAUCUCAAAUUUAUUUGUGUCAAUACAAAGGAAAGUUAUACUUGAUAUGCA